GAUUAACGCUGGCGGCGUGCAUAACACAUGCAAGUCGAACGAUGAAACUUUAAUGAACCCUUCGGGGAGAAUUAAAGCGGAUUAGUGGCGAACGGGUGAGUAACGCGUGAGUAACCUGCCUUACACAAGGGGAUAGCCUUUGGAAACGAAGAAUAAUACCCUAUAAAACCAUAAAAGCACAUGCAAUUAUGGUCAAAGUGAUAGCGGUGUAAGAUGGACUUGCGUCUGAUUAGCUAGUUGGUGAGAUAAAAGCCCACCAAGGCAACGAUCAGUAGCCGGCUUGAGAGAGUGUACGGCCACAUUGGGACUGAGACACGGCCCAGACUCCUACGGGAGGCAGCAGUGGGGAAUUUUGCACAAUGGGGAAAACCCUGAUGCAGCGACGCCGCGUGAUUUAGAAGGCCUUCGGGUUGUAAAAAUCUUUUGUAUAGGAAGAAAAUGACAGUACUAUACGAAUAAGGGCCGGCUAAUUACGUG
RNAcentral lists this ribosomal RNA (477 nucleotides) under uncultured bacterium. RNAcentral's name for it is "partial 16S ribosomal RNA". It matches the Rfam family "Bacterial small subunit ribosomal RNA", at positions 28 to 507 of the family's 1533-position model. The record is from RNAcentral.